RNAcentral lists this ribosomal RNA (510 nucleotides) under uncultured bacterium. RNAcentral describes it as "partial 16S ribosomal RNA". It matches the Rfam family "Bacterial small subunit ribosomal RNA", at positions 28 to 507 of the family's 1533-position model. The record is from RNAcentral.
GACGAACGCUGGCGGCGUGCUUAACACAUGCAAGUCGAACGAAGAGCGAUGGAAGCUUGCUUCUAUCAAUCUUAGUGGCGAACGGGUGAGUAACGCGUAAUCAACCUGCCCUUCAGAGGGGGACAACAGUUGGAAACGACUGCUAAUACCGCAUACGAUCUAAUCUCGGCAUCGAGGAUAGAUGAAGGGUGGCCUCUACAUGUAAGCUAUCACUGAAGGAGGGGAUUGCGUCUGAUUAGCUAGUUGGAGGGGUAACGGCCCACCAAGGCGAUGAUCAGUAGCCGGUCUGAGAGGAUGAACGGCCACAUUGGGACUGAGACACGGCCCAGACUCCUACGGGAGGCAGCAGUGGGGAAUCUUCCGCAAUGGACGAAAGUCUGACGGAGCAACGCCGCGUGAGUGAUGGCGGCCUUCGGGUUGUAAAGCUCUGUUAAUCGGGACGAAAGGCCUUCUUGCGAAUAGUGAGAAGGAUUGACGGUACCGGAAUAGAAAGCCACGGCUAACUACGUG